Molecule: small RNA, 2240 nt
Filed under: Pongo abelii (Sumatran orangutan)
Lineage: Eukaryota; Metazoa; Chordata; Mammalia; Primates; Hominidae
Description: retained intron
Source: RNAcentral
GUUUCUCAGGUAACUCCCUGGGGUUGGCCGGUACCAUGGAGGAAGAUUGUCUUCAGGGUGCAGGGCCAGCGUCCUACGGCAGUUUCACUCUGAGCCUGUGUCUGGAUCACGGAGACGCGGGGUAGCCGUUCGGAGUGCGGAGCAGGGAUGUCCCCGAGCUGUGCAGCUGCAGGAACCCGAAACACCUGGCGCCAUCUUCUCGGCGCGGUCCUACUCCGGACUGUAUUUCCCAGAGGCCCCCGCGAGUCCAGGGCAGCCCCUUCAUUUGCCUGCUGGACCCUCGUCCUCAAGGGUAGGGGAAGUGCGCGGUGAGCGGCCUGGGUCUUGCGGGCUCGGCUGGGGCCCGCAGACGGAGUCUCACUCUGUCACCCAAGCUGGAGUGCAGUGGCAUGAUCUCAGCUCACUGCAGCCUCUGCUUCCCGGGUUCAAGUGAUUCUCUUGCCUCAGCCUCCUGAGUAGCUGGGAUUACAGGAGAACGGCCUCAAGGAAGAGUAACCAUCUGCAAUACUAGAAGCAAUGGCUGAGGGAUCAGUGAUGUUCAGUGAUGUGUCCAUAGACUUCUCUCAGGAGGAAUGGGACUGCCUGGACCCUGUUCAGAGGGACUUAUACAGAGAUGUGAUGUUGGAGAACUACAGCAAUCUGGUUUCAAUGGGUAAGGGCAUCUGUACCAGUGAUUCCCAGUUUUCCUCUGGAAUGUCUGCUUCUUCCACAGUGAAUUUCUCAGCUGCUUUUGAGGUUACUAGCUGAAUUUCUAUUCUUUAUUACCAAACAAAUGAUUUGAGCUGAAAUGAAAAGGAAGAGUGGGAAAUUGGCAACUCCAGUGGGCUGUGGUUGAAGCUUCAUCUUCAUCUUUCUUUGGCUUUUCCUGUAGUGGCAUCUCUUCCUUGAUCAUCAAGGGACUGGAUCUCAUUUACCCCCAGCGUAACCAUGUUCCAUACCUUUUCUCGUGAGCAGGACUUUACACUCCUAAGCCUCAAGUGAUCUCCUUAUUGGAACAAGGGAAAGAGCCCUGGAUGGUUGGCAGAGAGCUUACAAGAGGCCUGUGUUCAGAUCUGGAAUCAAUGUGUGAAACCAAGUUAUUAUCUCUAAAGAAGGAAGUUUAUGAAAUAGAAUUAUGCCAGAGGGAGAUAAUGGGACUUACAAAGCAUGGCCUUGAGUACUCCAGUUUUGGAGAUGUUUUGGAAUAUAGAAGCCACCUUGCAAAACAACUGGGAUAUCCAAAUGGGCAUUUCAGUCAAGACAUAUUCACUCCUGAAUACAUGCCCACAUUUAUUCAACAGACAUUCCUUACUCUCCAUCAAAUAAUUAAUAAUGAAGACAGACCCUAUGAAUGUAAGAAAUGUGGAAAGGCCUUUAGUCAGAACUCACAAUUUAUUCAACAUCAGAGAAUUCAUAUUGGUGAAAAAUCUUAUGAAUGUAAAGAGUGUGGGAAAUUCUUUAGUUGUGGUUCACAUGUUACUCGGCAUCUGAAAAUUCAUACUGGCGAAAAACCCUUUGAAUGUAAGGAAUGUGGAAAGGCCUUCAGUUGUAGCUCAUACCUUUCUCAACAUCAGAGAAUCCACACCGGUAAGAAACCCUAUGAAUGUAAGGAAUGUGGGAAAGCCUUUAGUUAUUGCUCAAAUCUUAUUGACCAUCAGCGAAUUCACACCGGUGAAAAGCCUUAUGAAUGUAAAGUAUGUGGGAAAGCCUUUACUAAGAGCUCACAACUUUUUCAGCAUGCGCGAAUUCAUACAGGUGAGAAACCCUAUGAAUGUAAGGAAUGUGGCAAAGCCUUUACCCAGAGCUCAAAGCUUGUUCAACAUCAGAGAAUUCAUACUGGUGAGAAACCCUAUGAGUGCAAGGAAUGUGGCAAAGCCUUUAGUAGCGGCUCAGCACUUACUAAUCAUCAGAGAAUUCACACUGGUGAGAAACCCUAUGAUUGUAAGGAAUGUGGAAAGGCUUUUACUCAGAGCUCACAGCUUCGUCAACAUCAGAGAAUUCACGCUGGUGAGAAACCCUUUGAAUGUCUCGAAUGUGGGAAGGCCUUUACUCAGAACUCACAACUUUUCCAGCAUCAGAGAAUUCAUACAGAUGAAAAACCGUAUGAAUGUAAUGAAUGCGGAAAGGCCUUUAAUAAAUGCUCAAACCUUACUCGACAUCUGAGAAUUCACACUGGUGAAAAGCCCUAUAACUGUAAGGAAUGUGGGAAGGCAUUUAGUAGUGGCUCGGAUCUCAUUCGUCAUCAGGGAAUUCAUACUAAU